AGGACGAACGCUGGCGGCGUGCCUAACACAUGCAAGUGGAGCGACGAACCAGGCUUCGGCCUGGGGCAGAGCCGCGAACGGGUGAGUAACACGUGGGUUACCUGCCUCGAUGACCGGGACAACCCGAGGAAACUCGGGCUAAUACCGGAUGUGCCCGCAAGGGGAAAGGAAGCUUCGGCCUCCGCAUCGAGAUGGGCCCGCGGCCCAUUAGCUUGUUGGUGAGGUAACGGCUCACCAAGGCUUCGAUGGGUAGCUGGUCUGAGAGGACGAUCAGCCACACUGGGACUGAGACACGGCCCAGACUCCUACGGGAGGCAGCAGUGGGGAAUCUUGCGCAAUGCGCGAAAGCGUGACGCAGCAACGCCGCGUGGGGGAAGAAGGCUUUCGGGUUGUAAACCCCUUUCAGUUGGGACGAAGCUUCGACGGUGAAUAGCCGGACGGAGUGACGGUACCUUCACAAGAAGCACCGGCUAACUACGUGCCAGCAGCCGC
RNAcentral lists this ribosomal RNA (492 nucleotides) under uncultured bacterium. RNAcentral describes it as "SSU rRNA". It matches the Rfam family "Bacterial small subunit ribosomal RNA", at positions 26 to 518 of the family's 1533-position model. The record is from RNAcentral.